CCGGCUCAGCUGCUGAGGGUCACUGUAAGCCCGAGCAGCUCCUCAUUGCCUCCUUAGUCAGCUGCCCCCGGCCGGAACGACAAGGCCCACCGCGAGGGGAGCGGAACGGCCCGGGCCUGCCGGGCCCCGCAGCCGUGACCGCUGCGGAGACACCACGGAGGAGAGCUAAGCUAAUAGGAGUGCUCGCUCCGCGGGGGUGCAGCUUAUUUUGUGCUGAGGAAUCCAAGCCAUCUGAUUUUCAGGCCCAUAUUUCAUUACCUCCUGUAAGGGAACAGAAAAACUAAGCAUAAGAAGACCUCACUGCGAAGCUUCUAC
This 315-nucleotide long non-coding RNA is filed under the name Gallus gallus (chicken). RNAcentral's name for it is "long non-coding RNA NONGGAT002362". The record is from RNAcentral. Lineage: Eukaryota; Metazoa; Chordata; Aves; Galliformes; Phasianidae.